GACGAACGCUGGCGGCGUGCUUAACACAUGCAAGUCGAACGGAAAGGCCCUGCUUGCAGGGUGCUCGAGUGGCGAACGGGUGAGUAACACGUGGGUGAUCUGCCCCUUACUUUGGGAUAAGCCUGGGAAACUGGGUCUAAUACUGGAUAGGACCAUGCUGUAGGUGGUGUGGUGGAAAGAUUUUUUCGGUAAGGGAUGAGCUCGCGGCCUAUCAGCUUGUUGGUGGGGUAAUGGCCUACCAAGGCGUCGACGGGUAGCCGGCCUGAGAGGGUGGACGGCCACAUUGGGACUGAGAUACGGCCCAGACUCCGACGGGAGGCAGCAGUGGGGAAUAUUGCACAAUGGGCGCAAGCCUGAUGCAGCGACGCCGCGUGGGGGAUGACGGCCUUCGGGUUGUAAACUCCUUUCAGCCAUGACGAAGCCUCUUUUGGGGUGACGGUAGUGGUAGAAGAAGCACCGGCUAACUACGUG
RNAcentral lists this ribosomal RNA (471 nucleotides) under uncultured bacterium. Its description in RNAcentral is "partial 16S ribosomal RNA". It matches the Rfam family "Bacterial small subunit ribosomal RNA", at positions 28 to 507 of the family's 1533-position model. The record is from RNAcentral.